AUCCAGAGACCGAUCACUCUUCCAAACGGCCAAACCUCAUGAAAUACAGACCGAUUAUUCUUCCAAAGCUCAUGAAACAUAUUCUCUCUCUUUCUCUUCCAAAUCUCCGGCUCCCAUAGUGUAUCGCCUGAAUCAGUGGGUUCAACAUUUCCGGUAAGGCUAGGGUAGCAUAAAUCCAGGAGAUGAAGAAAACCCUAGACAACGAAUCUUUCAACACCACGAAAGCUUAACGACAUUCAUCCUCACUAUUAACGUGGUUCUUCAAAUGCAUUGUUCUAAUUCCUUCCCAUCCGAAAAUCACCUUCAGACACCACAAUCAACCAUCACUGAUUGUAACACUUCACCCAUGGGUUGUUGCUCCUUUCUUAGUUGUGGCUGAUUACUAUGUUGAUAAAUUCCGAUAGCAGCAAUGGUUUCUGGGUGAAUGUUUCGAUUGUGCUAUCAAGUACGCCAUUACCAGGUAAUUUUUGAGAACCUUCUAUUUUCAGUGUUUGUUGAGCACCAAUUGUUCGAUGGUUUGUCUCAAUGAGCCUAAUUUCAUGUGGGUAUGCUUAAGUUUUGAAAUUCACACAUCAAAUGGGUUGCUUUGCAUCUUUGAAUUUGUUAUAUGAAUCACAAAUGAUAAACCUUAAUAUCGUAUAACAUGAGUUGUAAUUGUAACAUGUUUGUAUUUGGUUUGGGUCAAAGCCUGUGCCACAUUAUUAAUCUUAGAUUUGCGAUUGGAAGUAUAAGGACUGUAGCAUCUUUUUGCGCUGAAGAGAAAGUGAUGCGGGUUUAUAGAGAUAAAUGUGCAGGUCCUGAAAGAAUGAGGAUAAAACAAGGUUUGAUCGAGGGGGCUGGGUUUGGAGUAUCGUGUUUCUUACUUUUUUGUGUGUAUGCAGCUAGCUUUUACGCCGGAGCUUGGCUUGUUGAGGCGGGAACAACUACAUUCCCUAAAGUUUUCCGGGUGAGUGAUGUUUGAACUUGAAGCCACAACCUGAGACAUAUACACCGAUUGCCUACUGUCCCACAUGAGACAUAUACACCGAUUGCUGCUGACAAAGGAAAAAAAAUCGCCUCACUUACAUUUCACUUAGUUUAUACUUGCAGCUUUUGAUUAGACCAUCAACUCAUUUUUGCAGUCUCAACAACAGCUUUAGUGAACACCAACCCCAACAACAUCGACCAUCUCUCCGAGCACAUCGGCAAUAACAUCCGCUGCCAAAAGACAGCUCCAGUUCCCAGAUAUACCUUUUGGGCAAUGAAGCACCUCUGAAGUCCAACUCGAACACCUUCUUUACUGAUGUACAUAUACCUUUUGGGCAGUGAAGCAUUUCUGAAGUCCAACUUGAAGGCCUUCAAAGGCUUUUUUGUUGGUUCAGGCCCCUUUGAUCACUACACUCACACUACACAAACUCACGUAAAUAUGUUUAUGAAACUCUCUUUAUAUUCAAUAAACAAAGGAUACAAAUAAAAACCUAAUGCUACUCCCUAUUUAUAAUAAAAAUACAAAUAAAGUCACAUGCAUAAAACCCACGAACUCCUCUUUUGUAGCAACAACUCCCAACGUACACUUCUCCAUGACAUCUAUCUCCAACAAACUUGGUCAACACAAGACUAAUUCUAAACCUGUGAUCUGUUUGCUGCUAGAAUGCCCAUUUUCUGACCAGUUCUCGACCCGUAACCCAACUUGACCCGUUUUACGACCCGUAACAUCAAGAUUAAUUCCAACAUUUUUUACUGAUGUAAAUAAUAAAAGAUAUUGUUGGGCUAUGGACUGGGGAUAUUAUUUUGAAUUAAGUAUGGGCCUACCAUGUUUAGUAUAGUGUAAUACAAAACUUAGUGGUACUUAUUAUAUUUUGGCUACAGAGAUUAAGUGGCUGAAUUCUAUCAAGGAAACUUAGUGGUA
Helianthus annuus (common sunflower) is the source of this 1888-nucleotide long non-coding RNA. RefSeq lists it as uncharacterized. The transcript has 3 exons. Lineage: Eukaryota; Viridiplantae; Streptophyta; Magnoliopsida; Asterales; Asteraceae. The record is from RefSeq and is a predicted model, not a curated record.